RNAcentral lists this ribosomal RNA (460 nucleotides) under uncultured bacterium. Its description in RNAcentral is "partial 16S ribosomal RNA". It matches the Rfam family "Bacterial small subunit ribosomal RNA", at positions 338 to 795 of the family's 1533-position model. The record is from RNAcentral.
CCUACGGGAUGCAGCAGUGAGGAAUAUUGGUCAAUGGACGGAAGUCUGAACCAGCCAUGCCGCGUGCAGGAAGACGGCUCUAUGAGUUGUAAAUUGCUUUUGUACAAGGGUAAACCUGAAGACGUGUAAUCAGCGGAAAGGACUGUACGGAUAAGGAUCGGCUAACUCCGUGCCAGCAGCCGCGGUAAGACGGAGGGUCGAAGCGUUAUCCGGAUUUAUUGGGUUUAAAGGGUGCGUAGGCGGAUUGAUAAGUUAGAGGUGAAAUGUCCGGGCUUAACUCGGGAACUGCCUCUAAUACUGUUGAUCUAGAGAGUUGAUGCGGUAGGCGGAAUGUAUGGUGUAGCGGUGAAAUGCUUAGAGAUCAUACAGAACACCGAUUGCGAAGGCAGCUUACCAAUCUAUAUCUGACGUUGAGGCACGAAAGCGUGGGGAGCAAACAGGAUUAGAUACCCCAGUAGUC